UCCGGGUUGGACCCGGCGGUCCCGCCAGACAUGGUAACUGGCAGCGAGGGUUGCGCUCGUUGCGGGACUUAACCCAACACCUCACGGCACGAGCUGGCGACAGCCAUGCACCACCUGUGCUGGCUCCUGACUUAACAGGUCGUUCCCCUUUCGGGGUUCUACUUCCAGCAUGUCAAGCCCAGGUAAGGUUCUUCGCUCUGCAUCGAAUUGAACCACAUGCUCCACCGCUUGUGCGGGCCCCCGUCAAUUCCUUUGAGUUUCAACCUUGCGGCCGUACUCCCCAGGCGGACGACUUAAUGCGUUAGCCGCGGCACGGAAUGGACUGAACCACCCCACACCUAGUCGUCAUCGUUUACAGCGUGGACUAC
This 368-nucleotide unclassified non-coding RNA is filed under the name uncultured bacterium. Its description in RNAcentral is "contains 16S-23S intergenic spacer region". The record is from RNAcentral.